This 392-nucleotide long non-coding RNA is filed under the name Physcomitrium patens. RNAcentral describes it as "long non-coding RNA (PPAT_LNC013776)". The record is from RNAcentral. Lineage: Eukaryota; Viridiplantae; Streptophyta; Bryopsida; Funariales; Funariaceae.
CCUAUUGCUAAACAUGCUCCAUAAAGGCUAUUUCUUUCAUCAUUGGUAGCUCUCAAUAUCCAUCCAUGGUUGGUGUCAAUUGACUACUUAUCUUUCUUAUAAAUCUUUCUAGAUAAGAUGUUUGAUCUCAAAGCCAUGAUCCAUCAAUGAUAGGAUUGAUUCUUCAAGGCCUCCAAUCUUUAUAUGUAUCUCUAUAUAUGUCAAAGCUUCACCAUUAUUCCUCUAUAGCUUAUUAACCUCACACUCAGACACCUUGGCCUCCAUUGUGGCUCCUUCUUCAUGGUUCUUGUUAGUAUUUGCUUCCACCUUCAUAUUAGUUACUCUAUCAUUUACAAACAUUUGUAGUACUUUGUCUCUGAUUUCAUCACAUAAAUCUUCUUUUAUAAUUUGAA